GAUGAAGAACGCAGUGAAAUGCGAUACUUGGUGUGAAUUGCAGAAUCCCGCGAAUCAUCGAGUUUUUGAACGCAAGUUGCGCCCGAAGCCAUUCGGCCGAGGGCACGUCUGCCUGGGUGUCACGCAUCGUUGCCCCCCCCAAACUUCGGUUCGGGCGGGGCAGAAGUUGGCCUCCCGUGCGUGCCUGCGCGUGCGGUUAGCCCAAAAGCGAGUCCUCGGCGACGAGCGCCACGAAAAUCGGUGGUUUUUUUGCCCUCGUUCCUCGUCGUGCGUGCCCCGUCGCCCGAACGCGCUCUUGCGACCUUCACGCGUCGCCUCGGUGGCGCUCCCAACGCGACCCCAGGUCAGGCGGGACUACCCGCUGAGUUUAAGCAUAUCAAUAAGCGGAGGA
Molecule: unclassified non-coding RNA, 391 nt
Filed under: soil metagenome
Description: partial contains 5.8S ribosomal RNA, internal transcribed spacer 2, and large subunit ribosomal RNA
Rfam family: 5.8S ribosomal RNA (bases 1-122)
Source: RNAcentral